Canis lupus familiaris (dog) is the source of this 52-nucleotide non-coding RNA. The record is from Rfam. Lineage: Eukaryota; Metazoa; Chordata; Mammalia; Carnivora; Canidae.
UUUUUAGUAUAAGUAUGUCCCAUGUAAUAUUAGGGAUAUACUUCUACUAUAA